RNAcentral lists this ribosomal RNA (458 nucleotides) under uncultured bacterium. RNAcentral describes it as "partial 16S ribosomal RNA". It matches the Rfam family "Bacterial small subunit ribosomal RNA", at positions 338 to 795 of the family's 1533-position model. The record is from RNAcentral.
CCUACGGGAGGCAGCAGUGGGGAAUAUUGCACAAUGGGGGAAACCCUGAUGCAGCGACGCCGCGUGAGUGAAGAAGUAUUUCGGUAUGUAAAGCUCUAUCAGCAGGGAAGAAAUAGCGACCUUUGGGUCGCCAGACGGUACCUGCUUAAGAAGCCCCGGCUAACUACGUGCCAGCAGCCGCGGGAAUACGUAGGGGGCAAGCGUUAUCCGGAUUUACUGGGUGUAAAGGGAGCGUAGACGGCAGCGCAAGUCUGAAGUGAAAUUCCGGGGCUUAACCCCGGAACUGCUUUGGAAACUGUGCAGCUAGAGUGCAGGAGAGGUAAGUGGAAUUCCUGGUGUAGCGGUGAAAUGCGUAGAUAUUAGGAGGAACACCAGUGGCGAAGGCGGCUUACUGGACUGUAACUGACGUUGAGGCUCGAAAGCGUGGGGAGCAAACAGGAUUAGAUACCCCAGUAGUC